Long non-coding RNA from Lolium rigidum, 369 nucleotides. RefSeq lists it as uncharacterized. The transcript is spliced from 3 exons. The record is from RefSeq and is a predicted model, not a curated record. Lineage: Eukaryota; Viridiplantae; Streptophyta; Magnoliopsida; Poales; Poaceae.
GGAGAACUGGUGCUCGGAGUGGGGUCACUCAUUCUUAUAUCACUUAACAGAGUUCUGCUGAAAGCAUACUCCAAGUGUGAUAAUGGCACAGAGAUCAUCAAUGUGCAGAACUCGUGGUUAGCACUUAGCAAGUGCGUGUAGUGUUCCAAAGUCACCUGUCAACGAUGAUAAACCGCAUCAAAAAACGGAGGAAGGAUCAGAUCAGAUGCAUGUCAUUUACUAUAUUUCUUUGGGAAAAGAGGAGACACAUGAUUUCCUGUGAUACAUCAAUACGUACCUAAAUUGUCUAUGUUUCUUCAAAAUGUUGAUUGAAACAGAAGGGAGGGAGUAAUACUCAUGUCAGCUGUCCCAUGUGGAAGCUUUACCAGC